UAAGAUCAAAAUAUUUUUAAUCUAAAUUAUGCAUGCAUGAAAAUAUAAAACUACAUGGAUCUAUCUCAUAUGCUACAAUUGAUAUAUGUUGAUAUUUAGAUUGUGAUCAAAGCACAUACCUAUUUCGUAAUUCUUUUCUUCAAAUCUGGAUCUGGAAGAGAAGAGGUUCUCUCUUAGCUACACAAAUAUUUGCAAGUAUCCACUCAAGAUCAGUCUGAAACAGCUCUCUUUAAUCUGAAUUUUUGUUCUCCAAAAUUUAGCUUGCUGAAUUUGAAUGAAGCCUGGAUCGCAAUCAACGCUUGAUCACUUUCCUUGAUCUUCU
Molecule: long non-coding RNA, 322 nt
Filed under: Elaeis guineensis (African oil palm)
Lineage: Eukaryota; Viridiplantae; Streptophyta; Magnoliopsida; Arecales; Arecaceae
Description: long non-coding RNA (EGUI_LNC045998)
Source: RNAcentral